UUAAAAACAUUGAUAAGAAAAGUAGAUUUUUGGAGACUGCACAGAGAGACUGCGUUUGGUGAAAGCAGGGGAGUUAAAGAUUAUCGAAAAUGGUCUUUGAGUUGAAUUUUCCGAUAUGUAGGAGAUUUCGGGUUCACCCGUUAUAGUGAUAGAGUAUGGAAGUACUUGAAGAGUGAUUAAUUGUGAGGUUAAUCAGAAUUAAGGUGGUAACACGGAUUUUAUAUCUCGUCCUUUUA
This 236-nucleotide non-coding RNA is filed under the name Helcococcus kunzii. RNAcentral's name for it is "T-box sequence". It matches the Rfam family "T-box leader". Rfam says of the family: Uncharged tRNA acts as the effector for transcription antitermination of genes in the T-box leader family. The record is from RNAcentral. Lineage: Bacteria; Bacillati; Bacillota; Tissierellia; Tissierellales; Peptoniphilaceae.